RNAcentral lists this ribosomal RNA (301 nucleotides) under uncultured bacterium. RNAcentral's name for it is "partial 16S ribosomal RNA". It matches the Rfam family "Bacterial small subunit ribosomal RNA", at positions 509 to 807 of the family's 1533-position model. The record is from RNAcentral.
CAGUCGCCGCGGGAAUACGUAGGCGGCAAGCGUUGUCCGGAAUGACUGGGCGUAAAGGGCGCGUAGGCGGAAUGUACAGUCAGACGUGAAAUUCCUGGGCUCAACCUGGGGACUGCGUUUGAGACGUGCGUUCUAGAGUUUGGAAGAGGGUUGUGGAAUUCCCAGUGUAGAGGUGAAAUUCGUAGAUAUUGGGAAGAACACCGGUGGCGAAGGCGGCAACCUGGUCCUUGACUGACGCUGAGGCGCGAAAGCGUGGGGAGCAAACAGGAUUAGAUACCCGCGUAGUCCCUGUCUCUUAUAC